AGUGAUGUGGUGGGGGUUUGCUGUAUUGGUGUAUUGGUGAUGUAGUGGUGAUGAUAACGGGUGUGCUUAGUUUAGUAAUGGUGGGUAGGUAUGGUGUUGUGUAUUGGUGAUGACAAGGUGGUGGUGCGCAGUGAGGUGUUUAGAAGAAGUUAUGGUGGUGAUGAUGUGCAUAGGUGAUGACAGUGGUGAUGAGCAGUGUGGUGUUUAGAAGUAGUAGUAGUGGUGGUGGUGAUGACAAGGUGGUGGUGCGCAGUGAGGUGUUUAGAAGAAGUUAUGGUGGUGAUGAUGUGCAUAGGUGAUGACAGUGGUGAUGAGCAGUGUGGUGUUUAGAAGUAGUAGUCGUGGUGGUGGUGAUGACAGUGUGGUGUUUAGAAGAAGUUAUGGUGGUGAUGUGCAUAGGUGAUGACAGUGGCGAUGAGCAGUGUGGUGUUUAGAAGUAGUAGUAGUGGCGGUGGUGAUGUGCAUAGGUGAUGACAGUGUGGUGUAUGGAAGUAUAAGUGGUGGUAGUGAUGGUUGUGGUGUAUGAUCGUGAUAGCAUAGUGGUGGUGAGGGUUAUGAAGAGGUGGCAGUUAUAGGCAAAACGAGUAACACUGAUUAUGGAUAUGAAGAGGUGAUCAUUGCUAUAGAAAUGAGGUAAUAUUAUCCUAGAAUAUAAAAUUAACCACUGUUGUAAAAUAUAAGGGUAAUACUUGCUGUAGAAUAUGAAGGUAAUAACAAUAAUAGCAGAAGAGGUAAAAUUAUCCUAGAAUAUAAAAUCAUUGCUGUAGAAUAUAAGGGUAAUACUUGUUGUAGAAUAUGAAGGUGAAAAUAAUAAUAGCAGAAGAGGUAAAAUUAUCCUAGAAUAUAAAAUCAUUGCUGUAGAAUAUAAGGGUAAUACUUGCUGUAGAAUAUGAAGGUAAUAAUAAUAGUAAUAAUAAUAAAAGUAGAAGAUGAGGUAAAAUUGUCCUAGAAUACGAAGG
Molecule: long non-coding RNA, 959 nt
Organism: Eriocheir sinensis (Chinese mitten crab)
Lineage: Eukaryota; Metazoa; Arthropoda; Malacostraca; Decapoda; Varunidae
Exons: 2
Source: RefSeq, a predicted model, not a curated record